GCCAGGCAUGGGGGCGCACGCCUGUGAUCCCAGGUCCUUGGGAGGCUGAGGCAGGAGGAUCACAAGUUGGAGGCCAGCCUCAGCAACUUAGCGAGCCCUUGUCUCAA
This 107-nucleotide small RNA is filed under the name Marmota monax (woodchuck). Lineage: Eukaryota; Metazoa; Chordata; Mammalia; Rodentia; Sciuridae. The record is from RNAcentral.